UUAAAUUGAAGAGUUUGAUCAUGGCUCAGAUUGAACGCUGGCGGCAGGCCUAACACAUGCAAGUCGCACGGUAACAGUAAGCAGCUUGCUGCUUUGCUGACUAGUGGCGGACGGGUGAGUAAUGUCUGGGAAACUGCCUGAUGGAUGGGCAUUACUAUUGGAAACGGUAGCUAAUACCGCAUAACGUCGCAAGUCCAAAGUGGCGGACCUUCGUGCCUCUUGCCAUCUGAUGUGCCCAUAUGGGCUUAGCUUGU
This 254-nucleotide ribosomal RNA is filed under the name Escherichia coli. RNAcentral describes it as "partial 16S ribosomal RNA". It matches the Rfam family "Bacterial small subunit ribosomal RNA", at positions 1 to 249 of the family's 1533-position model. The record is from RNAcentral. Lineage: Bacteria; Pseudomonadati; Pseudomonadota; Gammaproteobacteria; Enterobacterales; Enterobacteriaceae.